This 32899-nucleotide long non-coding RNA is filed under the name Setaria italica (foxtail millet). Its description in RNAcentral is "long non-coding RNA (SITA_LNC001971)". The stretch from base 4874 to 4993 matches the Rfam family "U5 spliceosomal RNA". Lineage: Eukaryota; Viridiplantae; Streptophyta; Magnoliopsida; Poales; Poaceae. The record is from RNAcentral.
CCCAACUUCCAGUGGUUCUGCACUUGGUUCUAUUCUUGCAACUAAUUCUCAACAAACUGUCUGCAUUGCAGGACCAAAUAAAAAAGCGCGCACUGCAUAUUGCCGCUGCUGUACUCAUAUCAAGAGAGGAAAGCAAGAUACAAGUACAUGCUGGCAUUUCCUGAAAGUUUCUAACAACAGGGAACACAAUGCAAAAUCACAGAGACUACAAGGCAUUACAAAAUGUAAUCGCUGCAUUCCCAACUUGAUACUGCCUCUAACAAUAUUAUUAUUACAUCACCUAGAGGACCAUCGAGAUCUCCUGGCAUUGCAAGCACGCACCUAGCCAAGAACACCGCAUCCUCUCAGAAUAGCAGGGACAAAGAAGCAGAGAGAAUAAGAGGGCAGAGAGAAAAGGGGGGAAAAAUGAUGUAGCUAGGAAAGCUAAAUUAGUAGUAGCUGCUAGUUAAGAUACCUAGAGAUAUAUAUAUCUCGGACCAUCAAGCCUCAAUUCCCCACAAGAGCUCACACCAUCUGCGUCGUCUUCCUCCUCGCGCUCAGCUCCACGGGUCGAGCGAGCAUGAGGUCCAGCCGGCAGUGGGAGCCGAAGGCGCGCACCCUUUUCUCCUAUCUGUGCGGCGGCCUUCCACCAAGCUCAUUUCCCCUGUCGCCGCACAUUGGCCAGGUACUCCUCCUAGAGCUCGCCCUGAACUCCAUCCGGAGAAGGGGACGGUGGUGGGAAUCAAGAAGGGCUUGGUGCCGGCUGCGUCUUCAGAGAGUGAGCUUACUGGGAGGGAGGAGGCUUGCAAAGAGAGAAAGGAAGGAAGCAAGAGACUGAAGAACAGAGUGGUUGCUUAUAUACAAAGCCCCUCACAUGGCUGCAAUGGGUAGAGAGGGGGAGAGCGCGAUUGGUUUAACAACGGGGUGUGGCCUGGUGGGAGCAUGGAGAAUGGGAAGCAUGUUUGUGGGGAACGCAAAGCGCACUUGCACGCCUUUCGAGGCGUGUUGGGGGCGGUAAACAAGAGAAUAAAGACGAGUAGUAAACUGAAUCUGAACGGAGCGUGUUGUGUUAGUAUUUUCCCCCCACCUCUCCAAUGUGCAGCAGCAUACUGAUUACUGCCACUGAAGUGCUGGGCCAUGGCGGCAUGUGUGCGCCUGUUGUUAGUGCAGGGAGAAAUGGACCUUACAUGGAGAGGGAGGAGAGGAGGGACAGGGGAAAGGGGCGGAAUGGGCUUUCUGUUUGACUGCCUUGUCGAGCUGCCUCCUACUCCUCUUCCUCCCUCUUUGCUUUUCUGGUGCUAAAGGGAAAUAUACUUUUCUGUCCUUGUGGCACUGCCAUGAUCAAAAUGAUUGAAGAAUGAGGAAGUGGUAUAAUGGCGGGCAGAAAAGUCCCUAUGAUUAUCGAGCAAACUUGUCAAAGAAUCGAACCGGUAGAAUGCAUUGAUACAUUUAUAUUUACCCUUCCUGGUCACCGUUGGUACACUACUGAAACCUAGCUGAAGAACAUCAGUAAUAAGUGGAAUAAAAAAUAGCUAAUUUGUGGAUGCACUCUUCAAGGUUCACUAGCCUUGGCCAGUGCUUUGGAUGGGUUUAUUCAAGAUCAAUGUCUUUUCCUUUUUCCACACAAUAAAAGCUGAGAGGUACUCUCCAAAAGAAAACUUCAAAUAAAUGUGAGAGUUGCUUCUGGUUUACUACUACUUCUGUAAAUGCUUGAUAUGCUAGUUUAUGAAUGUGAAUGGGUCACUCGACCUAACAAGAUGGCGAACUUACCUGCCGAGCUAGACGACUAGCUGCAUGGAUGAGGAUGAAGCAAACAAUAAGUAAUCCAUGAUGAUUCACUUUCGUGCAGACAGGGAUCACUUGAAUAAGGAUAUCCAUUGGCCUGUGAAUGGUGUAGCUUCCAUCUGUCGGAUUAGUAGUGUUUAGGGUUUGUUAAAGGGGGAUUAGGCCUCAACUUAACCGCACUUUCCAUGUGCGCUGCACUUAGCAGUUAGCAGCUCCUCGCUUAAUCGGCAAUGGAAGCUUCACUCCCUUUCUCUCCCCUCCCCCUCUCUGCCUUCUAUCUUUCUCUCUCUACCCAUCCCAAGCAUGCAAAGUAGAGGUAACAUGCGUGUUAACGCUGUCAGGGGAACGGUCCCAGUCUUAUGCAACUUUAUAACCUUCCUUUGCUUUGUUAAUGAUUUUCCCCAAAAGUGGCCUGCUGGUGUAGAAUAGGAUUCUCCCCAUGAUAGAAGAGAAGGGCGAGACUUGUUUACAGGCGGUUUUGAUGACUUUCAUGCAAUGGCGCCACUGAGGACAGGAGACGCCUCAAAUGGAUGGGAGCGUCGGUGUGUGUAGUGCCCUCUUUGCAGGUCUCGAGAGACGAGAAAACAAUGGGCUCGCCGUGGACGAAGCCAUGAUCCACAGCUGCUUGCUUCAGAAAGACGACGUGGAAAGGCCUGAGCUGUGACUGUGAGCUAUACAUCAAAGGUGUUCAUCAUGUGAAAUUGGACAUGCAGUUUAUUAACAGCAACGAAUCAAAGCAUGCACAAACGUCUGGUCGCUUUCUAAAUGUAGGAAGAAAAUGGAAAAAGGACGAGACAUGAUUACAAUUUUUUAAAAGAAGAACGAUAAUCCCGACCUGCUGCCGUUGUGAUGAGUUGGAGGAACUGUGCGUCUCAGACAUGCAGUGAUGCACGAACAGGUGGUAACAGUAAACGCAUCCUUUUUGAGAUGUCGUCUACUCUUGGUAAGCUGCAUGCAUAAACAUGGACCAUUACGUAUGGAGCUCUGCAGGACUGUAGGAAGGAGCAGUCCCCAUCAGAGGACGGAAAGCUUCAGCUGGUGGUCAAAUUUGAUGGAUUCUCCCACACACUCUUUCGAGACUCUGAAGGCUGGCAGCUUGGUUGGUGCUAGUGCUGGCUGCUGGCCACUGCUGGUGCCUGUGAGGCUGUUUCGAACGUGUUCGCGUCUGUUCUCUUGUCAUUCCGGGUAGGUGAUCAACUUUAGGAUGCAUGCAUGCAUGCAUGAGCGUGACUGCAGGCAUGACGGGAGGAGGGAGAGGAGAGGAGGGGAAAAGAGGCAUGAUUUUUUCAGUUCGCGACGAGCAGAAAACAAAAGGGGGGAGUUCCUUUGUCCAAACACCCUUUUUUCUCUUCGUUUGGUGCCGGGAAUGUGCACGCGAACUGGUGCUGUUGGGGCUGUGGCCGUGUGGUCUAGCAAAGCAAAGCAUCUCCCUCCUUUUGUUCGCUUGUGCCUGGUGUUCUCCUCUUGUUGUUUUGUUGUUUUCUUCCCGGGAGAAGAGGCGUGGUUCGAAAGGAAAAUGUUGUACCGCCGAGAACGAAAUUUGAUGCAUUCUGCUGGGUCUUUUUGCAACUAGGGUGUUGUGAUACAGUAAUAUGCAAUGCAAGCAAACAGUUUAACAUGUCUGCGAACGCUAAUAAAGAGAGUGAAAGGAGGGAAAAAAAAGGUGUCACAUGGAAUAGAAGUCUUUGAAUGUGAAAAAACAACGGUACAGAUAAGGUAGAAAAACCUCAGCGAGAUGGCAGCAGUGUAGAUUAUUGAGCCUUUUUCUGCUGCUGAACUCAUUCAUGAUCGGCAAAAUCUGUUCACCGAAAGGAGUCCAUCAUACCUGUCUGCCACGCCCGCCCAACGCCUCUCGGCCAUCCCCUUUCCAUCACCGGCCGCGCUGCUGUCAGCCGCAGGCAGAGCUCUCGUCUGCAUGCUAAAGCCGCCGCAAACGUGAAGCCGACGUUCGAAAUCUCAACCCCAUCGUUUUUUUUUGGUUCACGCCGGUGAACGUCGGCCGCCCCGGUCCCGUGGCGAAUGAGCAGCCAGCACAUCGUAUAGCAUAUGCAUGCUCCUGUCGUCCACGCUCGACAUACGUCAGGAGCACGUAACCUUUGCUCGGUGUUCUCUUGGAAGCAAAGGAAAACGAAAGGAGAUCUCAAGUCAAGGCCGGCCGGGGCAGCAGCCACGCGUGGCAACGUGCCGGGGGCGCUGGGAGUAAAAGAUUAGACGGGGGCGCGGCGGAAUCGGCGACGCACCGGCGGAGAGGAGGAAAAGGGGCGGUCGACACGGGUGGAGAGGGAGGGAGGGGACGGGACGCGCGAGAGCGGGUGGAGCGGAGUAUAAUAAGCGCAAUCAUUGGGCACUCAACCGCGGUCCACGUCCGCGGCCCGGCGCUGCCGGUCCGGCGCGCGACACGGCGAGCGGCGCGUGCGGCGUCGCGCGGGCGGGUCCCCCCACCCCGUCCGCCGCCCCCGCGCGACCCCGAGCGCGAGGGCGCACGCGCGCGCGUGGAGGGGCAGCUGGGGCUUGGCUGCUGGUGGCCUUGGGCGGGGGCCGGCCGGCUCUGGUGGGCGGUGGGGGUGCCCCCCGUGCCGCUCGGCCGCGAUCCCGCCCGGUUCGGCCACUGUUGGUGACGCGAGUGGUCCGUCCCCUCCCGCACGUCGCUUUGCCCGUGCGUGCCACAUCGGGCACGCGCAUCCGGAACCGAACUCCCGGGUCGCACGAAUCGCCGGCAUGCGAAUCCCACGCUGCAACUCUGCAAGGUGUUUCUUUUUUUUUGAGAGAGAGAGAGAGAGAGAGAGAGAGAGAGAGAGAGAGAGAGAGAGAGAGAGGAGCAAAGACUGCAGGUCAUGCAACCACGGCGGGGGCGGCGGGACAUGAGAAGAAGUUGUCGUUCAUGCGGAAAGCCAUGAUGGGCCGAAGGACUCUGGCGGACACAUCGCUGGAUGGCCCAAAGAGAAGACGGGAGAAUGAAUGAGUUCGGAGCCCACCGCAAUAGACUGGUGAGAGGAAGGCUGCUGGCAGCUGAUGAUGAUGUGGGUUAGUACCACAUCGGGGAGCGGUGGUGUUGGGAUCCCGGGGAGAGCUACAAGAGGAAGGGCAGCGGCUCGCAGCCAAAGCACGCAGCUGCGUGGUGAGCACAGAGCGAACUAUUCUUUCGCCUUUUACUAAAGAAUACCGUGUGCGCGCCACAAUUAGCAGCAUACGCUAUUUUUUUGAGGGUGUCCUUCUAUCAAAGGAGGACCCCAACAAAUUAAUUUCAAAUUUAAUUGGAUUCUGAAUCUCCGUGCACUGUUUCAAAGUGGAGCUUUUACAAGUUCAGCAGACCAGUGUCGGAUGACCGAUAACAAUGGCUUCCGCCCACCAGAAAAGUUGCAGCAGGCCAGACGGGAGACACUGGAAGAUUGCGGAGAAGAGAAUCUGAGAAUGCAUUGCCUGCCGGAGCGCGCGCAGUCCGCUUCGGCGCUUGAAUCGCCCGGAAACACGGCGGCGGAACGCGAAUCGCGCACGCUGAGCGCAACCACGUUGUGGACAGGCCGCGGUAGGUCGAUCGCGCCGCUGGUCAGUCACUGCGAGCCCAACGACGUGGGUUCUUCCCUAGUGAAACCCAGACGGGCCGGACUCCACCGGACUCACCCACUCCGCAUGGCCCAAGGACGGGUGAAUCGGUAAAGUUUAUCUUAGUUUAAAGGUGUUCUCCAGUUCACGGAGGACGCCAACAAAAACAAAUUCAAGUUUAUUCUAAAUUUCAGGAUGUUGUGAAUAGUUAGGUUUUUGUUUCAUAGAUCUUGGUUUAGUUACUAAUGGUGGUUUCAGGAAUUUAAAUUUCUCUGAUUCUGAAUCUGCGUCACCAUGCAAAAUGCUCGUGCGUAGUGUCGUCGAUUAUAGCGCUUGUACAGUCACCAAUUUGAUCUUGGUGGACAAUGUGUAGAAUACACAUACCAGAGCGAAAUUAUGAGAAAUACAUCCACCGAUUUAAAUCUGGAAUAAAAUGAACGAGAGAGUGGAAACAAUCUAUUCACAUAUUCAUGACCCUCAACAAUGGCUUCCCCAACUAAAGAAGCUGCAGAAAACCAGGCCAAGCUUCUUACUUACACUGGAUGAUACAAAAGUACACGGAACGCAUGCCUCAAAUAACAAAAAGUUUCUUCCAUUGCACAAAUCAGAAGACAUACUGGUAUAACGUGGAUCUGACAAAUCUGAAAAUUAUCGGGACGUGCUAAUGGCUAAUAGUAAGAUUUUCCAUCUCGUUCACCACAUCAUCAGCUAACUCGGCCUCCAGAGAUCCAAGGCACUUCUCGAAUCCUUCAAGGGCUGCAAAGGCAUUAGCAGGUGAGCCACCAAGGUGUCCUAUUUCCUUGCGCAUCCCAUUGAUGCCACCAUACAGUCUUUUUACAGCGAGCUUCAUCUCAGAUGCAUCUUGUGGUGGAUAUACGCAAGCCCCGAGAUCAUUGACCUGGUCGGCAAUCUCCUUGCAAUGGCCCAGCAAUCUUUCCAUUGGCUCAACUUUGUCCUCGUUAGCCCCAUUCUUGUUACCUGAGCUCUUGAGCAAACCAGUAACAAAACGAAUUGCCUCUUUCACUACAACCAGCGAAUCAGACACCACAGUGACAAUCAACUUGGCAACAGCGAUCUCCUCUUCAGUGAAAUCAUCAUCAUCAUCCAUAUCAAGAUCAGAUAAUAUCUCAUCUCUAUCAGAACAACUCGUGGUGUCAGCAACACCAUUGGAAGACUUUUCAGCAGUAGCAUCACCAGAAUCACUGAUAGGGAGUUCGUUCAUCUCCCGGAGAACAUCCUUCAGACACACACCUAUUUGCGUCAUGGCUCGUCCUAUGGCAGUGCAGUUCGACGUCGGCACCUUCUUGAGAGCAGCACAGGCUUCCCAUACAGUUCCUGUGACCUGGGGUAUAGUUAUGUUCCGAUCAGGGCUGCGAGAUUCUGCAUCAGAUUAAAAAAAAUGAAGUGUUAGCCCAACUAAAAAUAUUCUGAGGGAUUAAAAUAAAUAAAGUGCAAGACUCGAAGGUCUCUGAAUGUGAUAAUUGCUUCAUUGCUAUUUCAGAUGUCCUUUACCAUGGACUAGAAUCACAAUACUGAUGCAACUGACACCGAUAAAAAGUCACAUGCUUCUCCUCACUUCAAAUAUGUAGAAUUUAAAUCAGCAAUUUUAGUCAUGUGACUAUUCCACCAUCAACAUUGCUUUAUAUUUAAUUCUACCUAAUUGGUUUCCAUAUAAAAAAUCAGUAGGGACUACCAGGAAGCCUUGUUUAGACAAAUAACUACAACCAUUAAGCUUUGGCAGUUUUUUUACAUACCAUAAGCAGAAACAGCAUGCUUGAACAAUAAGAAGCUAGAGUCAACCACGUUCUUUGCGGAACCACAGAUGGAUUUGUGAAGAGUAGGCCCAGCACCGACCAUGCUUCCAUGGCAAGCCAAGAGGAAUCCUUGUAGGAUGUUGAAAUACGCAACAAUGUUCUCCUUCAAGGUGUCUAUAUUAGGCAAGUCACCACUCCAGAGCAUUCCAGCUGCAGCAAAAGACAGGCAUCAGCCAUCAAAACAGAGUUGCAUCAUGUCAAUAAAACAGUUUCGCUCUAUCACAACUAGAAAGACUGCAUUGCAUAUACUACCCUAUGAACUAGCUAGGAAGAAAUUGCCGAACACUAAUGCAGAUACCAUAAAUACUCUACUACAUUCAGCAGAGGAACUAUGUACACUCCAGUAACUGCAGACUCAAACACCCAAAACUGACUUCUAAGGAGCACUGAUUCAGACGAAAACAAGAAUUUCCUUUUCUUGUCUUUUCUCUUUUUUUUUUUGAAUGAACAAAACAAUAUUUUCCUAACCUAUCUAACUUCUCAAUUGGCUUUCCGCUGAAAUAAAUCAACUCAAACACUCCUAUGUACACCCAGAGAAAUUCUCAAUCAAUUCAGAUACAUAUGCAUGCUCAGACCAGCAAAGCGCGAGAAAUUAAGUACAUGAGAUCGCUCAAUUUUGCACCUACCGACGGUGGCCUGCCUGGAGACCUGGUCGCCGAGCUUAACGACCUCAGACCACUCCGUCCGCUCCAAGCUCCCCGGAACCGCCUCCGCCAUCAUCUGAAAAACGAAGAGCGAACAAGCGUCAAGCGUGCAAGCGGCGCGGUGAGGUUUCCGCGUGGCCGCGUGGGAUCGGAUCGGAUCGGAGCUGGGCCAAGACCAUGGUAGGUUUGGGCGUACCUGGAAGGUGUCGUUGAUGGUCUGGAGAUGCGAAUCCAGGAAGCGGGACAGUUCGCCGCCGCCCGCCGCUUUCUUCGCUCGUCCUCCUUUCUUCGACAUCGAGGCGGCGGUGGCGGUGGGCGAGUCGGGGCUGGGAAGAAAGAGGGCGGCGCGAGCGGCGAGGAGCCGACGGGGACAAGAGGCGGCGCAGCGGCCGUGGAAGGGUUUAUUCAGUUAGGGCUCGGCGCCUCUCGAUGUCGGAGUCGCGCGAGCCAUAGGAGUCGUGUCAAGAUUCGUGUGAAGAAGCGUUAGCGGGUGUUUGGAAAACACAUCCUAUAGGACAUGUCACAUCUGAUGUUUGAUACUAAUUAGAAGUAUUAAAUAUAGUCUAAUUACAAAACUAAUUGCACAGAUGGAGUCUAAUUCGCGAGACAAAUCUAUUAAGUCUAAUUAGUCUAUAAUUUGAUAAUGUGGUGCUAUAGUAACUAGUUGCUAAUGAUGAAUUAAUUAGGCUUAAUAGAUUCGUCUCGCGAAUUAGUAUAGGGGUUCUGCAGUUAGUUUUAGAAUUAGCUCAUAUUUAGUCCUCCUAAUUAACGUCCGAACAUCCGAUGUGACACUCCUAAAAUUUAGUACCUCGUAUCCAAACACCCCCUUAGCGUGAAAACGGUCACCAAGGCCCAAGGUCCCUUAUUAAAAAAAAAGGGCCCAAGAGUCCUGUUUGAACUUGUAUAAUAAAAUCUAAAAAGUUCUUAAUGUACAAUUUUAAAUUGUACUAUCGCUAAGACUGUUAUGUCAGCUUUAUAAUGAAAAGAAACAAUCUCUCUCAGUGCACAAUUUCAGUAUAUAGGUACAUUGACAGACUGCAUCAUUUAAUUCUUGAGCGGUGUUGAAAUGUAUCAUGUGAUCGGUGCAAGUUUCAUUGUGGUUUAUGUGAUUACCAAACCAAGCACGUUGGGUUUUAUGGGGACCAAACUCUCUUCCCUUCUCCCAAAAUUGCUAGUAUGUCAUAGGAUUUAAUAUUCAUGAAACUCUCAGUGAAUUUUUUGAGACUCGCCUUAUAAAAGAUUAAAAUUAGUGGGUGGUUCAUUUCAUCACCGACGUAUUUUUGUACUGACACUACCUAAACCUUCCGAGCAACCCUAGCAUUUCAAGUGACAUCCAAAUUGCUUUGACUUUACUUACAAAAUAUAGUGAGACACAGCAAAAAAGAGAGCUGUGCAUUUUUUCCAAUAAAAAAGUUUAGAACCCUAAUGUGCAAUAAUCUUGCUUUAUUGAUUAGUUACACCCGGUUUGAUGCUGCGGUAUUCUCAAUUAUUCAUCAAUCUCAUGCUGACACCAAAUGAGCUAUUGUGGCAAACCAAAUUCCUUCCAGGAGGGGGCUCUCCUAAUACGUAAGGGGGUGUUUGGUUCUAGGAACUAAAGUUGAAAUUUCCGGUGCAUAUUAUCGGAACUUCCGACACACUAUCGGAACUUCUGACACUGUUGAAUUAAAUCCACUGAGCAUCCCCAGCAGGAAGUUUCUGAAAACUUCCAACCCCCUGUCGGAACUUCUGACACUCACAGAAAUUGUGAGAAAAUAGACGUGCAAGUGCGUGGGUGGUGUCUCUCAUGGGUGGAUAGCAUCUCAAUUAAGCACUUUGACAUCUUCAAGCUAUCCAUUCGUAUCCCCCUUUAUAGUACGGUGUUCCUAUACUCAAUUUCAAAGAUAGAAAUUAUAAAAAGGUCUUCUUUUAAGCCCAACACCGUUCUUCAAUUUUAUUUGGGGUUCUUUUCUUGCACCUUUGCACUUCUUUAGAGUUUAAGCCUGUCAAUAACUUGAUAAAUUCAUUAGUCCCUUAAUCAUGCAUGUCAUCAACACCAAAACCCACUUAGGGGGCCAAAUGCACUUUCAAUCUCCUCCUUUUUGGUGAUUAAUGACAACACAAUUAAGGCUCACAUGAGAAAUAUAUAAACAUUUUGAAUCCAAACAUAUAGGUGGGCUGCCCCUUAACAUGUGCAUCUUUCAACGAUAGAGACAAAAUGGCCUCAAAUGUUAUUUGCACAUGUUAAGUGAGCUCCCCCUAUAUCCUUGCAUUCGUGGGGUGCAAAGAUGUGACAUGUAUAUUAAUGUGAUGCAUAUGACAAGAUGUAACACUUCAACAAAUUAGAAAUUAAACAAUACACUAAGCCAUGAUCAACACAUAUGAAUAGAAAUUUAAAACCACACUAACAUAACAAAUCACAAAUAAGUCUUACAAACUUAAAAAUUCACUUGGCACAUCAAUCAUCACACCACACAUAAAGUUCUUACAUGUCCACAAGCCAUAAACUAGAAAAACUCAUAAAAAGAUAACACCACCACCAUAUGGUCCCAUGGUGAGCUCAUUCCCCCUUUUGGCAUCAAGCUCCAAAAAGAGGAGGCACUUCCAUAGCCAUCACUCAUCACCAUCGUCUUCCUCAUGCUCGUCAUCUUCAUCCUCAUCCUCCGGAGUAUUAGCAUCGGGAAUGUCCUCUUCUUCCUCAUCGGACUCUUCUUGCCUACCAAAGUCUUCCUCAUCAUCACCUUGGGGAGCUCCAAAGAACAUAGGGGGCUGCCCAAUCUCCUCCCAAGGGUUGUAGAAAACCGGUGGAGGAGGAAAAUUCAUAGGAGCACGGAGAGGAGAGUGUGAGAUAUCAUUCUUGGCCAUGAGCUCCUUUUGCCUCUUUUCAAUCUUGAGGAGUUGCUCAUCCAUGUGCUUCUUGUGGGCAUAGAUUUCAUCCGCAUUGUGGUGACCCACAUUGAAGCAAGCGAAGAGACCUUGUGAUAUAAAGCUUAGAAUCCCUUAGGAGCCCGAGGUGGUGGAGGACCUCUAGAGCUAGAGGGCCUAUGUGAGGAUGAUAGCCCAAGAGAUGGUGAAGCUCCAAUAGGAGGUCCUUGAGAAGAUGAAGGUCCAAGUGAAGUUCCUUGUGGUGGAGGACAAAUACCAUGAGACCCAAUCUUGCAAAGCCUCUCAAUAUGACCCUUCUUUGACUUGUAGACAGGACGGCCCUUAUCCGUUAGAAUUUUCAACUUGGUCACAUCCUUGAUCAUAGCAAAGAUGUAUGGAGCGUAGUGACAACUCUUCUUGGGGGAGUAAGAGCAAAUGAUGAUUUCUUCCCAAAUGAAGUCAAAGAUGCUAAAUUCACCUGCGUCGGGAUGCAUCUGUGCAAGCAAGUUCUUUGACAUGUUAGAGAUGCUGUCCACAACACUACCUUUAGGGCAAAAAGUGUAGCGGAAAAGCUGAUUUAGUAACUUACAACGGAAUCAUGUCCUUGGUGGUGCCAUGCUCAAUCGGUCCAUAAACGCUGUUAUACAUGAAGGCCAUCUCUCCAUCCUCAAUGACAUUCUCCAUCUCAUAUAUCUUAUAUCGAGCAAUGUCAUAUACCCCAUAACCAAGAAUAUUUGCAAACUUUGCAUAAGUCACUGAAAGGGACUUCCUCUGAAGAGUCCAAUGCAUCACCUUGGUUGCUGUAACACCUGCAAAAUCACCAACCUAAAAUCACCCGUUAAAAAUUGCUUUCAAAAUAUUUUCACCGCUGAGCUCCCGGAAAUCUAAAAUCUUCCCGGUGAUUUCGCCGUCCCGGCACCCAAGCCGACAGCUAUCAUUUUAUCCGUGCCCGUUUUUCUCGCCGCGUGCCGUCGUCAGACGCCGCGCGCGUGCUCCGACCGCGUGCCGCGAACGCCGCCGGUCUCCCCUUUUUUUCUUUCUUCUUUUCCUCCCUUUUUCUUUCUUUUUUCCUUUUCCUUCUCCUUUCUUUUUCUUCUUUCUUCUUCCUCCUUCUUCUUCUCUCUCCUCCUUCCUUCUUCUUCUUGGCGCCACUCCUCCCGGUCGGCCCAACACCAUAACUCCACCGGCAACCACCUCCCUGGCGCCAUACCGUCGGCCGCCCGGCCCCCGUGCGCCCCAGGACCCGCGCCGCCCGGCCCGGCGCCGGCCGCGCCGGCACCCCCCGGGACCCGCGUCGCCCAACCUCGCCGACCCCAGCGCGCUGGCGCGCCACCCGCCGACCCCUCGCCGCGCCCCUCCUGCGCUGGCCCCGCCUCCAGCCCUGCUCUACGCCGCCUGCCGCCGGCCCCUACCUCCCCGCCCCCAGCACGCCACCGGUGCCGUGCCGCCAAGCUUCCACCGCCGGCUAUUGCCGGACCCCUACGUGCCGACCACCUCGCCGGCUAUAAAAGGAGGCCGCCCCGGCCGCCCCUCUCCCCACACCGCACCACACCCCAACCUCCUCCACCCGCCAAAACCUCCGGCGCCACCGCCGCCCGUGCCAAGCCGCCACCACCACCCGAGCGCCGCCCGAGCACCAUCACCGCCUUGACCACCGCCGGUCGCCCCUCUCCUACCCCCAAGUGCCCGAGGUAAGGGGCAAAACGGGAUCCUCUCCCCUUCCCCCACCUCCUCCGCCCCACGGCCUCCGCCGGUGAGGCUUGCCGGUCGGCCGCCGUCGGCCCUCCACCUCCCCCAACCUCCUGGCCGGCCCAGUGAAGGAGAAGGGGAAAAUUCCCCAAAAUCCUGAUCUGACCCCCACCUUUUCCCAAAUUACAAACAGGCCCUUCCACCACUCUCAUAACCUUUUUCGCAGAUAAGCCCCUCCACCUCCAGAAAUAUUUACAAAUAGGUCCCUGGUUCAUCGCGAAUCAGUUCUAAACCUCCUUUUUAAGCCUCUAACCCAUGUUUAACUCGUCAUUUCAUGCGCCAAACUUCCUCCAUUUAACCCCAAAUUUUACCACGUCGUCCUCCAGAAUACUUCCGCCGAUCCAUAUCCAAAUUUCCCAAAAAUACUACUUCUACCUAUUUUCCGUUCGCGUUUUCUGUUCGGAGCUCAACGGUUAAAAACCAACUUUCUUUUAUUUAUUUGUGUGUCUGUUUGUGUGUGCCGUAGAUUGCGGAUUACCCGAGGAGGAGCCCGAGGAGGAGUUUGACCGCGAGCCCGAGCCCGAGGACUUGCAGCACGAGCCGAAACUCCCGGAAGGCUUUGAAGACGGCAAGUCCAAUCCCACCCUUUGAUGCAUACUUAAUACCUAGUUUUUCAAACACAACCUAUUGGCCUGUUUUAUAAAAUGCAUAUUGUUUUAUUGCAAGACAUGGUUGGAUAGCCACCCCUUGAUUGUUAUGAACGUUCCUUGUUGUCCUAUGGUUGUUUCUAAAUAUGAGCCGCUCUAUUUAGACGAUAACCACUGCUAGAACGCUUAGGAAAUUGCUACUUAAACUUCAAUCACUAUUAUAAUGGUUUAUUUAGAAAAUAAAUGUGUGUGCGUGUUCAACUGGGAAAAUGGUUUUCCAGGUUCAAAGGAAAAGAAUGUGUAGACAAGGUGCAUGGGUAUUUCUUGUGUGAAAUGCUAGGGUGUUGUGCUCGUACCUUAGUGGUUGAGCAAUAUCGGGAGAUAUCCAUCUUGUCAUGGUUAAGGACCGAGUUGAUGUGUCAUCUUGCCUAAUUCAACCAUCGUGCAACCACUCGACCGUUGUGUGGGCAACGACUUAGCAUAAAUCCCACUAGCUGAACUGUUAGUCUUCAGGGGUGCUGGUGAGCAACAGGAGCCCAUGGAAAAGGAGUAAGAUCUUGGUGACUUAGGUCCCGAUUACGGUCUCGUGGAUGAGCCGUGAACCCCUUGGGUGCUUCCGUGAGGGCUAGCCAGUCUUAGCUAAGGUGGGUAAUGACUUUGUUAGGAUCCGCACCGGCACUAAGGUGAUCGUGCUGCGGUACCCUACUUGUGGAAAAAGUGUACAACCUCUACCGAGUUAAAACCUAUCCGGGUAGCCGUGUCCACGGCAUUGGACGAGUUACGGCUUGGUCACAUAACUAGAACUUGGGUAUGGAUGUCGCGUGUGUGUGUGUUGGAUUUUGGAAGUGUCCGGCAGUUGUGCCGUGAGCUAUGGCGGACGGGGAGUCCGAUAGCGAUAAAACUUGGAUCCUAUUGGGUAGGAUCAACCCCACUUAAUGUUUCGGUUACUAAAGAAAAGCUUUACGAAAACUUGUUUGAAAACGAGCCCAUGCAUGUGUUGAAAAUCUAGCUUUAUUGCAAAUAAACCCUAGUCUAUCCUUGAUAUAUCCUAUGCAUAUAUUUGCUUGUAUCCCCCUCCGUGGAUGGGGUUGGACUUGUUGAGUAUGUUCGUACUCACCCUUGCUUCGUUACUACAGAGGAAGAUCCGAACUUUAUCGCCGAGGACCUUGAGUAGAGGUUGUGUCCGCACCCAACGCUGCCUGUGGUGUUGGCCUUUCCAAGAUGCUGCUGCUGCCAUGUAGUCCCGAGUGCUGUCUUUUGGCAGUCGCUUGAUUAGCCGCUGUUGUUUAUUUACUUCUUAUCGCUGCGUGGCUCUCACGCCCACUCCCUCGGGAGUUGUACGGUAACUGAAUUAUCUGUUGAAUAAAUGUGUUAUCAGCCUCCUGGGACUGAUAUUUGUAUCACAUUUAGUCUCUACUUAUGUGGGGACGCUUUAGUUGCCCGGUCAAUAUAGAGAGUUGCAUAGAAUUGAGCCACCACUUUUUCAUUCCAAUCUUGAUUUUGCUCCAUAAUAGAGAUAAGGUUUUUGUUGUUGCAAACUUCCCAGACUUGAUCAAUGACAGGCAGCUCAAUUGCCUUCAAAUAAGAUCAGUCAAUUGACUUCAUCUUAGUGGUGGGAUGAGUUUUGCAAAUAAUGAUUGACUCAUACCAAUCGGCGUGGAAGCGCAACCAAAAGCGGACAUCACCAAAGAAUUCCUUUUGGUACUGGGAUGGUCUAUCAUACCUGAGAGUGCAAAUAUCAUGCUUCCCCUUCUGAUAAUCCACUGGUUUUGAUCCCAAGUAGCCCUGUCUUGCUUCCCAAACGGGCUUUGCCAUCUGAAGGAUCACAAUCUCAAGAAAGUCCAAGGGGAUCAACUCAUUUUCAUACAUAUGAGCACCCGGGGAGGAUGCAUUCUUCAUGAGAGGAUGGACACCUUGGCUAGGUCCACCAGCUGGAGUAGGAUUCCCCCUUUCCCUAGCAUGUGCAGGUACGUACUUUGGGGACAACCUUCCUCUUCCCCUUCUUUUGAGAGAUAGGUAUUUCAUCGGACUCGGUGGAAGAGUUGGAUUCAAUUUCCAGGGUGUCCUCACGCUGUUUGCUUCUCCUUUCAUGACCCAUUUGACAAGAUUUGCAAAGGAAUUAGAAUGGAUCAGAGAGAUGGUACACAUGAAUCAAAAUAGAAACUUCAGGAACUUAUCGGGACUUCCGACUAAGGGUCGGAACUUCCAAUCGUCAGAAGUUCUGACUGAACCUGAGUUCAUCUAAAAUCCAUGGAAUUUGAGAUCUAGCCCACCAAUUCAAAUGAUAUCACAGGCAUGAGUUUUAAGACAUAUGUAGAGUCUAUCCCCCAAAGGAAAACAAUUAAAUCCUAUGGCAUUGAGAAAUCGGGAGACAUGAUUUUUGAAUAGAUUACCUCGAAGAUUUCCUGCGCGGAUUGGAUGAUUCCCAAGAUGGAUCGGAGGUUCUAAGGAGUGGGGACUCCAAAGAUAGCAAGAGCUUCAAAUUUCCAUGGCUAGAACUCUAGAUGUCCUUGAGAGGUGGAGUGAAGAGAGAGGGAGGCAUCGGUUUGAGGAGUUGAAUGAGUUAGGUUUGAGGGGGCGGCAUCCAACGAGUAUUUAUACCCCUAGGCAGACUGUCGGAAGUUUCAACAGGGCAUCAGAAGUUUCGACAAAAAUUUAAAACAUCUCCUGAGCACCCUCUGUUACGAUAGUUAUCAGAAGUUCCGAUGGUGGAUCGAAAGUUCCGAUAAUAAAAAGAAAUUCUCCCGGGAACCUUCGGUCGGAACUUUGCUGAAACUUUCGGUGGUUUUCAGAAGUUACGAUGGAGUAUCGGAAGUUCUUUUUAUCGGCUUUGUCGGUCAAUCACCUAUGGCUACUACUCUCUUCUCCCGCCGCUUAUUCAUUCAGGCACUGGAUUCGAACCAAUGAAGGAUUUUGAGUCCCUUGCUCUGAUAAAGUGAAGACAGCUCCAAAAAGAUUGAUUUUGAGAUGGAUAAGGAUUGAGGUUUCAAGAUAUAUAGCUUAUGGACAUAUAAGACAACUUGACACUUUAGUGAUCACCCAAUAAGAACCAUUACAUAACAAUGAUCACUUGAGUCAAGUUUUGAUCCAAGGAUCAAAAUCCAUGUUUUAAAAGAAACUCAACACAAAUAAAUCCAAUUUUCUUGUCUAGGCAACACUCAAGUAUGUGCAAUAAGUCAAGCCAAGUUACGCGAAUCCAAGAUAUUUAGCUCAUUCCUCAAAGCACAAAACCUUUGCUUAUCUAGAGGCUUAGUGAAGAUAUCGGCAAGUUGUCUUUCGGUGCUUAUAUGAUGUAGAGCAAUAUCUCCCUUAGCCUAAUGAUCCCUUAAGAAGUGAUAUCUAAUAUCUAUGUGCUUUGUUCGAGAGUGUUGCACCGAAUUGUUAGCUAGCUUGAUGGCCCUAUUAUUGUCACAUAAAAGUGAAAUCUUGCUAAACUCACAACCGAAAUCACUCAACAUUUGCUUCAUCCACAAGAGUUGGGCACAACAAGCACUGGUUGCCACAUAUUCGGCUUCGGUGGUAGAUAAAGCAACCGAAUUUUACUUCUUAGAGCUCCAAGACACCAAGGAUCUACCAAGGAAUUGGCAAGUCCCCGCUGUGCUCUUUCGAUCUACUUUGCAACCGGCAUAAUACUAAUCAGAGUAGCCAAGUAAAUCAAAAGUGGAUCCCUUGGGAUACCAUAAGCCAAGGUAAGAAGUGUAUACUAAAUAUCUCAAAAUUUUCUUAACAGCCAUCAAAUGACAUUCCUUAGGAUUGGCUUGAAAUCUUGCACACAUACACACACUAAGCAUAAUAUUGGGUCUAAAUGCACAAAGGUAAAGUACAGAACCAAUCAUGGAGCAAUAUACCUUUUGAUCAACCAGUUUUCCUUCUUCAUUUAGAUUGAGAUGCCCAUUCAAUGCCAUGAGUGUCUUGAUGGAUUUAGCAUCGACCAUGUCAAACUUCUUGAGCAUAUCUUUUACAUACAUGGUUUGAUAUAUGAAAGUCUCUUCCUUCAUUUCCUUGACUUGAAAUUUAAGAAAGAAUUUCAAUUCACCCAUCAUGGACAUUUCAAACCCCUUGGCCAUGAUCCUACUAAAUUCCUCACAAAACUUUGAUUAGUAGAACUAAAUAUAAUGUCAUCGACAUAUAUUUGGCAAAUAAAUAUAUCCUUAUCAACUUUGCGAGUAAAGAGAGUAGAAUCGGCUUUGCCCAUUACAAAAUCGUUCUUGAGAAGAAAAAUCCUUAAGGCAUUCAUACCAUGCUCUAGGUGCUUGCUUAAGCCCAUAGAGCGCCUUAUGGAGCUUGUACACAUGGUUAGGAAACUUUGGAUCUUCAAAGUUCGGCGGUUGUUCCACAUACACCAACUUGGAUAGGGGACCGUUCAAAAAUGCAUAUUCACAUCCAUUUGAUAAAGAUUGAAAUCAUGGUGAGUAGUAUAGGCAAAUAAAAUACGAAUUGACUCAAGCCUAGCUACGGGUGCAUAGGUUUCACCAAAAUCCAAACCUUCAAUUUGGGUGAAACCUUCUGCAACUAAUCUUGCCUUAUUUCUUAUGACCACACCAUGUUCAUCUUAUUUUGUGAAACAUUGGUGUUUCGAAACUCCGAGCCACUGUCACUCCUUCUCCUCUUGAUCUUCAACUCAUAUUCAUUUUGAGCUCUUCUAAUGAAUUUCUUGACUAUCCCUUGAGCUUAACUUUUAUCAUGCAAAAAGAAUACCCAAGUGAAACGGGAAAAAUCGUCAACAAUAACAAUACCGUAUUUAUUACCGCCAAUGCUAAUGUAAGUAAUGGGUCCAAAUAAAUCCAUGUGUAGCAUCAAGUCAUGAUGUUCUUGGCGGGGUGUGGAGCACCAACUUGUUUCCCAGCUUGACAUGCGCUACAUAUCCUAUCUUUCUCAAAGACAACAUUUGUUAGUUUUAGGAUACGAUCGCUCAUUUGAAGUUUGGCCAAAUUUCUCAUCCCAACAUGGGCUAGUCGGCGAUACCAAAACUAACCCAAGUUAGUUUUUGCCACUAAACAGGUCUUGGGCUCAACUCUAUCCAUUGUGAAAUCAACUAGAUAAAGCUUUCCCUUUAAACGACCCGUAAAAGCAAUAGAGGAAUUCUCCCUUUUUAAAGACGGUCACACCCCAAUUAGUAAAGAGACAAUUGUAGCCCUUCUCACAAAGUUUUGAGACGGCCAACAAAUUGUAUCCCAAAAAUUCAACCAAAUAAACAUUAGAGAGAGUUGUCAUUUAAGAUAGCAAUGUUACCCAUUCCGAUUACAUCCCCUUUGCUACUGUCUCCAUAGACAAUACUUUCUUUAGGUGUGUCAUAAUGCCCUAGGGAUGAAAAUAUAUCCUUCUCCUCGGUCAUAUGAUUUGAGUAUCCACUAUCAAGAAACCAUGCGGUGCCACCGGAGGAGUAGGCCUACAAAACAAGUUAAACUUGAAACUUAGGUACCCAAAAGAUUUGAGUCCUUGUUGCUUAGAUGGAUAUAUGUUUGGAACUCACACACUUCUAAAGGUAGCCUUUUUCGUGUAGGCACCAACAUACUUGACCACUAUUUUACCAUCAUGGUCCAUUGUAACCAUGUAGUUGGUGGUGUAGCUUGGUCAGUGCUCAUGUGCAGCCACUUUGUCCUUUGAUUUGGUUAUGAAUUUCUCCGUAACAUUUACCUUGGUAGUUGCUUUGACCGUUGGCUUGACUUGUGUUGGUUUUUGUUACACCAUGUGCCACGUCCAUUAAAUCACCAAGGUUUGCACCUUUGUUGAACAUGAGGAUCUCCUUACCAUUCACCAACUUUCGGUCAUUUACCUUGAUUCCCUUGUAGUGUCCAAGCCCAUCCAUGUGCCUAGGAUGCUUCCCAUCCUUAUACUUGAUCUUAGGCUCAGACUUGGCAUUACCUUCAUAACCUUGUGCCACUAACAUGAUCAAUCUUUUGAUUUAAAUAUCCCUUACUUGAUUGACCCUUCUAGCUUAUCAAUGUUAGCAACACAAGCACUUACAUCAAUUUUAUAGCAUCUUGAGCAACCUUCACCAGUGGAGGUAUUGGAGUCAAGAUUUGCCAUGGAAUUAACUUUGGUGCUUUACCAAAGAUCACUAUUGUUAACUUCAAAGUCUUUGAAUUUGACCGUUAAGCAUGAGAAGCUUUCUUAAAUUUCACUAUGAGUGACCUUUAGAGAAGCUAGAGAUUCAUUUGCCAAAGUGUGCUUCUUUGACAUCCUCUCAUUUGAAUCAUUAGCUAGAGAUAAGUCAAUAGCUAAUUUUUCACCCUUAGCCUUUUCCUCAGCAAGAGCCUUCUCUAAAGCAAGGUUUCUCUCCUUUUCAAGGAUGAGCAAGUCUUCUUGCCUAUUGAGAGACUCCUUCUUUUUCUCCGAUUUCUCCAAAAACUUUUUAAUUUCUUUAUAGCAUUUCUUUCCAAAUUCUUUUAUCAUGUUGGCUUUACAUCCUCUAACUCACUUUGCUCGUUACUAAAUAUAGAGGAGGAGAGGGAUGAGGAGGAUGUAGCAUCUAGUACCUUGGUCCCCUUUGCUAUGAGAUAAAAAGGAGUGUCAUCUUCAUUAUCGAAGAUAUUGUUGAAGAGUAUAGUUGGUAUAGGAGGCUUGAGUAUGGCCAAAGUUACCAUACAUUCUUUGUUGGAUUCUUCAUCACUAGAAUCCAAUUCUUCAUCACUAGAAUCCUAUUCUUGACCAAUAUGAGCUUGAUCUUGAUAUUUCUUCUUGUAGUCCUUGCUCGUCUCCUUGUACCUCUUCUCCUCCAUUUCCUUAUUUUUCUUGUGAGGAUAAUCGGCAAUGAAAUGACCAACUUCCUUGCAUUUGUAGCAUCUUCUUUGUGAUGUCUUCCUCCUAUCAUCACCAUUCUUCUUGAAAGCCUUCUUCUUCAAAAACUUCUUGUAAUUUCUUAUGGCGAAUGUGAUUUCUUCAUCGGUGCUUCCUUCAUCACUUGAGUCUUCCUUCUUUGACUUGAGAUCUUUGGGACUUGACUCAACCAUGACACUUGAGCUAGCAUUGAGAGCCACAUUCUUGUUCAUCCUCAAGCUAAGAGAUUUGGCCACAUCUCUCUCAACCAACUCUUGAUGCAAUAUUUCACCAAGAAGUUGAUUGGGUGUCUUUGUCUUGAAGCUUGAAUCUCUUCUAAUCAUGGUAGCAAGAGUGGGGUCCCUUGGAGUGAAAGCUCUAAGUAUCGUCUUGGUGACUUUGUGAUCAUCCCAAUCCGUGCUUCCAAGAGAUCUAAUAUCCGACAUAAGGAGCAUUAGUCUACCAAACAUUUGCCACAUGAUUUCUUCCUCAAGCAUGAUGAAGUGCUCUAGCUCUCCAUGGAUCAAGUCCAUCUUUCCUUCUAUAACUUGAUCGGUCCUCUCAUGUGCCUCCUUUAGUGUAUGCCAAAUCACCUUUGCAACCUCAACAGAGCGGACCUUAUUGAACUCUUGAGCACAUAGAGAGCCGGUGAUAACCCUUACGGCUUGUGCAUUGCGGAAAUAAUCUUGAGCUUGCUCGGCCGUUGGUAUACCAUUCUUAGGCGGAGUCACACCUACAACCACAACUUCCCAAAUAGAAGGGUGAAGCCCAUAAAGAUGCAUUUUUAUGUCAUAUGACCACUUGGGAUAAUCCGUCCAAUCAAAGUAAAGAGGUUUUCCCAAGUGGACGGAUUGAAAUUGAGAAUAAGGAUAUUGAGGUGAUGCAUUUGAGUAAUUAGGAGGAACUUGAUGAAACCCGAAGAAAGGAUGCUUGUCUCUUUCUUUCUUAUCUUCUUCAUCAACUUGUUCGCCUUCUUCUCGAUCCUAGCGUUCAUCUUCUCUUUUCUUCUUUUCUUGGCCUCCAAGUCUUCACCCUCAAGUUCAUCACUUGAGCUCAAGUCGUCACUUAAGCUUGCUACAUGUACGGAGGGAGGUCGACUCCUUAGAAGCUGACCAGAGGGGUCUAUGGGACCUCCUCCAAAGCUUGGAGUAGCACCAACAACGGCAGCGGCUCGAGCGGCAACUUCUUCAACGGUGGCAAGUCCAUCCCCAUUAUGAGACAUCUUGAAUCCCUUAGCGGUUAAGCCUUAAUCAAGAGAUUAGGCUCUGAUACUAAUUGAAAGGAUCUUGUGAUGCCUAGAGAGGAUGUGUGAAUAGGCUCACUUUAAAAUUUUCCUAAAAAAGUUCACAGCGGUAUUAGAUAAGUCGGAACUUCCGACACCGUGUCGGAACUUUCGACACCGUGUCGGAACUUUCGAUGGAUCGAAACUUCCGGUACAGGGGCGGAAUUUCCGACGGCAGGAAAUGAGCUGAACAAAAUUCAAAAUGAAACUUGAAUCUGCCAAUUUUGUUUGAAUCAAAGGAUUAUAAAUGAUGAGUAAAUACUACUGCAGGUGAUAGAUAUGCAAGGAACUACACAAAUUUAUAGAUUAGCUCAAAUCAAGCUUCUAGGUUAAAAAGAACUCGAGGAACACAACAAGCAAAUAAGACAAAGGAUUUGUUUACCGAAGUUCACUUCCACAAAGGAAGCUACAUCUCCGUUGAGGAGCUCACAAAGAGCCGAUUCCUCAGUAACCCUUUACCUCUCUCAAUCAAACAGAAACGAGGAUUGAGUUACUUACUAUGAAUCCACGAAGGAUGGGGUGAUACAAACAUUCCCGGGCGCACCACACAAAGAGGGCGCUCAAACGGGUGACGCCUAACCGUAUAGAAGCAAGCUUCAAGAGAAACCAACGUGAAUCAAAGGCCGAAGAUACUUUAAGUGCUCUUGAGAUGAACUUGUUGAACCUCACACUUAAAGUCCCAAGCCUCACACCUCUUUUCCUUCUCUCACCCAAGCUCUAACUCAAACUCUCAAAAAUUUAGCUCAAAGAGGGAGUGGGAAGAAGCAUUGAAUGCUCUAGAGAGUGUUUUUCUUGGGGUAGGUCAGCAGCCAUGGAGGGGGCUAAGGGGGUAUUUAUACCUGAGCCCCAAAACCAGCCGUUACAGUGCUGUUAUGUGCUUGUCGGAACUUACAACACAGAGUCGGAUUUUCGUGCUUGUCGGAACUUACAACACAGAGUCGGAUUUUCCAACACAGUUAAACUAAAAUGGCUAGGAACUUCCCUCAAUAAAUGCUCUUUCUGUUGUUCUUAUGCAAGUUAUAAAUUCCUUUGUGUCAUUGAUCUAUGCAAGUUUGAGUAUUCUCUGCUGGAAAUUAAAUUAAAUUAUAUCUUAAGUUUUGCUUCAUGACAAAGUACCUUCGUGCUAUUUGUUGGAUUAUGUGCUUUUAGUUGCUUACUCUUGGUAUCUCUAAGAAUUACCAGUCAGAAUCUGAAUAUGUCAAUAAUCAUAGGAAGUUACAAGACAACCUUUUUUUCCCCCCAUAAACGUUGAUUUAAGAAACCUCAUCAGGAAAAAUAUAUCUUCUUUGCCCUAUAUUGUUUUGCAGCUUCAUGGAAAUGGAUCCAUUAAAGUCCUCAGUUCUAUUACCACUCAAAAUCAUGAAAGAAUUGCCUGUCCAACUAGAUUCCUAAGAGCAGCUCAUGAGACAUCUGAAAUUCAAGGGGAGUAAUAAACACGCCAAAAUGGAGUAGAACUCCAGAAAGGAUGAAAAAUCCUAGAAGUACACAUUUUUAUUUGUUAUAUGAGCAAGAUAAUGGAAUAAAACACUUAUAUGGUAAACAAUCAAAUGUGGGUACAGGGUAAACAAUCAAAGAAAUUUCCAUUCCUUCAACAGGACAGGAAACGAUUAUAUAUAUGUGCUUCGUGAUUAUGUGAAUGUCUGAAUCUUACUUUGGUAACAGCACUCUUGAAAGUAGCAAAGGAGAUGCUUACUGGUAGGAUUAGUGUCUAAGGUUGUUGGAUAACCACAAACUCUAACAAAGUGUUCCAGUGUAUGUUUGUCAAAAUACGGCUGACAAAGAAAAAUUAUAAUGCCCUGCUCAGCAACUUGUACAAAUCUGUUUCAGUAGUAAGCAAGCAUAUCAAACUUCUAUUGUCAGAGGUCCAAAAUAAUUCUAUUUCCAGAAGAUGUCUGCAAAUCAACACACAACUACAACCUGUAAUCUAACAUCGACAAGUGCAAGAGAACACACGUAGCCAGUACAAACAUCAGGAAGGGCAACUUCACACAAGCAUCGCAAACAUUUACUCAAAGCCCCAAAAUCCUAGCCAGUCAGUGUGCAUCAACUUGGUAACCAUCUCACUAUCAGCAAAUUUGGCCAUGUGACAGUAAAAAUCUCACAACAGAACUUGAUAAUCUGAUAUUGCAGACCAUUAUAAUCGCUUAAUUUGAUCAUACUUCAAACUACAUAGCCAAAGGCAGUACAGAAUCGUCGUCGAAUUUAACCACUGUGAACCAAAAGUCACCACAGAUACAAAAACGAUCGAAGCUCGUCAGAUUCAGUUUUCGAGUCCGGGCACCUGUAUGCGCCGGCUGGCCUCGGACUUCUUGCCGCCGAGGAACUCGUCGGGGACGACCUUGAGCUGCUUGCGCUUCUUGGACUUGGCGAUCUUCUGAAUGGUCUUGGGGUUGGUGACCCGCUGCAGCUUGGUGCCCGUGCGCAGCACGUUCUCCUGCUUGCGCUUCUCCCGCUCCUCGCGCGCCUUCCGCUUCGCCACCUUGUUCUGCCGGAUCUCCUCCUUGAGCUCCGCCUUGCGGGCCUGGUACGCGCGCUUCAGCGACUUCUCCCGGACGCGCUGCUCCAGCGGGGUCGGCUUCCGCGACACCACCACGGCCGAGGCGCGCCGGGUGCGGGGCUCCUUCCACCGGCGCCCCGACACGCGCCCGGCGAUGACGCCGUCGUAGGUGGGCCGGCCGAAGGAGGCCGGCUUCGAGGGGUCCGACAGGGAAGGCAUGGCGCGGAGCUUGGACGGCCGGGGCGCGUCGGCGUCCAGGUCCAUGGAGUCCGCGGCCGCCGCCUCAGCCUCCUCCGCCUCCUCGCGGCGCUUGCGCUUGCCGCGCUCGCCGCCGAGGCCCUCAUCGAGGUAGCGGAAAUCGAGGUGGGAGGCCAUGGUGGGUGGGAUCGACGGGGCGCUUGAGGCGCGGGAUUGAGAGAGGGAGAACUAAGGCGGAGGCGGCGGCGGCUUUAUUAGGGUUUGGGAGUAGCACCAGAGGAUGGCGGGUUUAUUGUGGUUGAGCUGGGCCAUUUUUUGGUUUGAGCCGUUUUAUGCAAUAUUAAGAGCAAUGCAUCCUCGUCCUACGGCCCACGAAGCAGCCCGGCCCAAGACGGCGGCUUCUUCCUCGAGACGCUUCCUCGUGCUCGCACCCAAGGCCCGCGGCGGCGGCGGGCAGCGUCGCACGCAGCGCUGGUCCGUGAAGACUCGGCUCCUGUAGGGCGGCGGAAGUCGCUGGGGCGCCGGAACUGGGUGUGUGGGAAGGCAGGACGCUGGUCCAAAGGUCAGUGCCCAGGACCAAGUGGCGGCGAGCAGGCGUUGGUAGUUGGGUUCUCGACUGGGGCUGUGGGGAAGGCCUGAAAUUUUUAACAAUUAGAAACUUCUCUAGCCUUAAGGUAUUUCUCUUUGCCACCUGUUCCUCUUUGCAAUUAGAAUUUUUUUCCGUCCAGGCUACUGAAUUAGUUUGAGUUGGGCAAUGCGUGCCCAAAUUAAGGUUUGAUGAUUUGAUUGUAUAUGCGUAAGUAGAAGAGAAGAUUUUAUGGUAUCAUCACCAGUCUCAGUUUUUCAAAAAAGGAAAAACAUGCAAAUAUGUUAGUAGAUUUUUGAAAGAAGAUAGAGAAGGUGGAACUUCGGAGAUCAAUUAUACUACUCAUGUCUAUUUCACUCAUUUGGUAGGAUACUAUUUCUAAUAUUCAUGCCAAGUCAGAUACAUAUCGGAUCAGUUGGGUGUUAUCCACACUAUUUGUAAAACCCUGUUAAACUACCUCAUGAACAUUGUGCCUUGGCACCCAAAUCAUACCUGAACGCUGAUGGUGCUGAGAAUAUGCUUCAUCGCUGUUUAAGUGUUGGCAGAUGGUACCCUUGAUAGCAAUUCUAAAGGUCAGGUCAUUGAGCAUCUCAAAAGAAAAGGGGGGAUCACGAUACUUCUGGCACAUGCUCACAGCUGGGAGGCAAUAGUAGCAAGAGGGCACAUGCUCACAGCUUCUUGGUGGUGGUUAGGAAUCGGGGAAAAGAGGGAAAGCUCAAACUGUUCGUGUCUUCGAUGUAUUUGUGCCCAAUUAUUGGUUAAAAUUGACAUGAUCCACGAAAGUUAUGCUAAUGUAUAUUUUAAAAUAUGUGUUCUUUCUUAUUAAUGGCAAUAACAUGUAGCUUUCUCUAACCAACCGGAGGAUACAUAUUAGUCAACGUUUGGUCUCACAUGUACUUCGUGUUCUAUGUAUACCCCUCUUAAUCUACAACUACACAUAAUUAGGAGCUUCUGCUGGUCUGGACGUGUGCCGUGCAUAGGAUGAGGCUUGGGAUUCAAAUGGGAAGAAUGCUGGUCCUUAUGCUGCACUGAUGUUUGCUUUCUUCUUCUUUUUUUGUUUCAAACCGUGUGGCAAUCCUACUAGUGGUCGCUUUGUUUGGGUUUUUAUGGGGUACAGCCAUACCCUCAGGCCUUGAUACACCUAUAUUGUAGACCUGUUAAGCUGUUAUCUUUCUACUAAAUUGGUAAGUAAAUUUCAUGAAUAAAUGUCACAUAUUUGCAAAUAGAUCGUAGUAUACAUGGGCAUAUCAUAUCACCUACUUAUUCUCUUAACCACUUAAUUGUUCAACUAUAGGCAUGGUUCCUUUUUGAAAUUUGAUUGUUAGUUUAAAACUGAAUAUUCAUCUGUAUUCAAUUAUGUUUUGUCUUGCACGGCAUGUGUGCAGAACUGAGAUAUGGAGGACGAAGAAAACAUUGAGGAUGAACUGUUUUUUGUGGACUCACAACUCCAGGACAUUCAAGGUAUGAUCACACUAAACACUUCCCAGUUGAUAGACAAUUAGACAUGAAUUGUUAAUUCAAGGUAUGAUACAUGCAUCCUUUUCCCUGACUAUUCGUCUGUAUCAGCUACUUACUGAAUUGUUAAUGCAUGUUUAAGUUUUAAUCAUAAUGGACAUGAAAGUUCACUUUAUCUCCCUUUUCUUUGGUCCUGAAGUCAAUAAACACUUUUAUCUCCCUUUGUCUCCUCCUUGAUUGCUGGAGACUCCCAGGCUUCCGUGUACUGUUGUAGUUUUUUUUAAAAAAAAUAGAAAUAAAAACUUGAUCACAUGGGGAGACUCCUCCCCCUGGGCUAAGGUGCCAUGCUCCAAACCCGAGUCCAGAGAGGAGUUUCAACGACUCCCGGAGUUCAAUGCUCUAACUGGUCCACACACGAGAAGCUUGGCAGUACUGUUGUAGGGUUAGCUAUUGUGUUAAUAACAGGUUUUCUCAAUUAUUGUUGCAUUACCCAUUAUUCUUAGGGCCCUUCAUGUGCUUCUUGAUGUGUGGAGAGACAAUUUUGAUCCCUCUCAGUUAUCAGUGUUAACAACCAGGAGGUUUUAUUUAGCGUCACACUAACAGCAGACAUAUUUUUUGGAUUAGUCCUUUUGAGUGCUAUACUGAGUAUUUUGUGGACAAGGAAUGCCACUGCUUCAAUUUUCACAGUUGAAAUUAAUGCUUUCCAGGACAAAUUAAAACAUUACUUGAUCGCCAAGAGGAGUUGUAUGAGUGACAGUCACAGUUAAAGGCUUUGCUGGAAGUAUCUAAGAAAUCCAGAAACAAAUCAAAUUAUGAAUCUUCAGUUACUCUGGAAGAUUGGUCUGGGAGCUUCCCAUGGGAUUCUCAGGCUGAUGAUACCAGAUUCAAUAUAUUUGGCAUCACCUCCUACCGAUCAAAUCAACGAGAAGUAAGUUUACAGCAGAAAUAAUCUGUUUCUUUUUUAAAAAAAUCCUUCCUCUUGGGCACACCUAGUUAUAACCUAAAAGAAAUGCACAAUAGAUGUUCAAAGUGUUUUGGUUCUUUCUGAUGGUUUUUGGAUUACCAUUCCUCUGAUAUCCCUAUUGUUUUUAUAUCCUUUUUGUUUAGUGCUGAUCCUAAUUUUACACCCAUAGGCUAUGUUAUAUUGUAUAAUUUCAUCUUAUUUUCCACUCUUGUAAUGCAUAUUGUGCUUACAGAUAAUUAACGCAGUCAUGAGUCAAAAGGAUGUUCUGGUCAUAAUGGCUGCUGGUGGAGGGAAGAGCCUGUGUUACCAACUCCCAGCUGUAUUUCAUAAUGGAAUUGCAUUGGUUGUCAGCCCAAUACUUUCUCUUAUCCAGGACCAGGUUGUUAACCUGUAAACAUCUUUUUUUUUCCUUGCCCUAUACAUGCACAUGUUAAUUUUUGAAAAGUUGUACUGUUCUAGGUCAUGGGACUGGCAGAUUUAGGUAUAGCAGCUUACAUGCUGACUUCAACUACCAACAAGGAAGUUGAGAAGUUCAUCUAUAGGGCACUUGAUAAAGGUGAAGGAGAAUUGAAGAUAUUAUAUGUGACACCAGAAAAGAUAUCGAAAAGUAAAAGGUUCAUGCCUAAGCUUGAGAAAUGCCAUCUUGCUGGACGUCUUUCUCUCGUUGCAGUAGAUGUGAGUGAUGAUAAUACUUGUUUCUAUUUGUGCCUAAUCCCCAAAAUUGUUACAGUACACUAAUAUCGUUUCUCUCAAUAAAUGCUCUUUCUGUUGUUCUUAUGCAAGUUAUAAAUUCCUUUGUGUCAUUGAUCUAUGCAAGUUUGAGUAUUCUCUGCUGGAAAUUAAAUUAAAUUAUAUCUUAAGUUUUGCUUCAUGACAAAGUACCUUCGUGCUAUUUGUUGGAUUAUGUGCUUUUAGUUGCUUACUCUUGGUAUCUCUAAGAAUUACCAGUCAGAAUCUGAAUAUGUCAAUAAUCAUAGGAAGUUACAAGACAACCUUUUUUUCCCCCCAUAAACGUUGAUUUAAGAAACCUCAUCAGGAAAAAUAUAUCUUCUUUGCCCUAUAUUGUUUUGCAGCUUCAUGGAAAUGGAUCCAUUAAAGUCCUCAGUUCUAUUACCACUCAAAAUCAUGAAAGAAUUGCCUGUCCAACUAGAUUCCUAAGAGCAGCUCAUGAGACAACUGAAAUUCAAGGGGAGUAAUAAACACGCCAAAAUGGAGUAGAACUCCAGAAAGGAUGAAAAAUCCUAGAAGUACACAUUUUUAUUUGUUAUAUGAGCAAGAUAAUGGAAUAAAACACUUAUAUGGUAAACAAUCAAAUGUGGGUACAGGGUAAACAAUCAAAGAAAUUUCCAUUCCUUCAACAGGAUAGGAAACGAUUAUAUAUGUGUGCUUCGUGAUUAUGUGAAUGUCUGAAUCUUACUUUGGUAACAGCACUCUUGAAUGUAGCAAAGGAUAUGCUUACUGGUAGGAUUAGUGUCUAAGGUUGUUGGAUAACCACAAACUCUAACAAAGUGUUCCAGUGUAUGUUUGUCAAAAUACAGCUGACAAAGAAAAAUUAUAAUGCCCUGCUCAGCAACUUGUACAAAUCUGUUUCAGUAGUAAGCAAGCAUAUCAAACUUCUAUUGUCAGAGGUCCAAAAUAAUUCUAUUUCCAGAAGAUGUCUGCAAAUCAACACAGAGCUCAGGAAACAAUUAUAAAGAGCCAAACAACUGGCCCUUUGACAGUCUUAUCACCUAGCUUAAGAAUACUGGCAUCCAGCGGUGAGUAGAAACAUAUGGUUGGAUAGGACACAACUAUAAAAUCAGAUGCCUGCUGGCAGGCAGGCUGGCUGUAAGAAGAUGAACAACAGAGCAACCGUUCGCUGCAUGUUUACUGUAAAUUGUGAAUAACGUCAUAAUGUACACUAUCAUCUUUGCUAUGAUCACAAGUUCAUCUUUUACAACAAAGCAGCAAAGUUUGGAUCCAGCUUCAGACAACAGACACAAGAGGGUGCUGUAUGGAACUCAAGCAGAAAUAAUGGGGUUUCUGACGCACUCCUUGGAUUGGACUUGUCCUGCAGUGAGCUCCAGUUGAUCUUCUUCACAAAGGCCACCGUCGUGAGGCGUCUGGAAGAUGGGGAUGCUACCGAGCGGAAAGACGAGGACCGAUCAUUGGCGUGCUGGCUUCCGAGCAUUUGGCGAGUGGAGGAAGAUGAGCUUGACUGCCCGUCAUCAGAUGGUCGCAUCAUAGUACUGCUUCUAUGGAUUGGCACAGACUGAACCAUUCUGCAUCUGCUCAAACUCAAAGGAAUGAGGAGGUUCAUCUCUGCUGUCGUAAUUGAACCUCAUUCCUGCUGCAUGCUGUUGGCGUGAGUGAUGCACACCAUCACCAAGUUUCUGUUUAGGAUCACCAGCAUCAUCGCCACCUCAACUGGCCAUCUUAUCUUGUAACAGCAAUUAGCUGAUGAGGGGCUCUGCUUCUGAUGAAGGGCGGCAGCUGCUCAUACGGAGCCUCAAUCUACAAGUAACCUGCAAUCCACGGUGAAUGAUUAUUACCAAGGGCAAAAGUGCAUUAGAGUAGAGAGAAGCAAUAAUUUACUUGUGAAUAUAACAGUGCUGACAAUCUGAAUUUAUCGAGUUUCCUGAAAAGACUCGUAGCGGUGCAUUUGUGAUGUUACAAAUAAAACGAUCAUCACUUUGUGACUCUCUGUCUUGUGAUGUUGUUACGCAGGAGUAACACAAUUAUUCAAUUAAUUACUAGUUGAAAAAUGGUAACAAUCCAGCAUUGAUGAAAAAAUUGCAAAUUUGAACAAGAAAGAUGAGGAGAAGGCCAAUUUUGCAGAGAAGGAAACAGUUGAUUGAAUUUGAUCCAUGAACAUACGCACCAGUAUAAUAAUCCAAUUUAGCACAUGGACUCCCCUUCAGUUUGGUUACUGGAAAGUGAGAAAUCAAUCCAGUAUCAGAGACAGAACAGUAAAUGGAUCAAAGCAUUAACAUAAGAUAAGAUCACAGCUAAAAUGAAUAUAAACUGUGAUCCAUUGCUUUGAUUGAUAUGUCACAUGUAGCGAUUACAUGAAGUCGAUAACUACGAACCUACAGAUACCACAAAAGUUUGAGGCUUCCAACUAGAAUCUGACUCUAAGUCUAAAAAUUAGAGAAUCAGAACUUUGAAUCUCUGCAAGUCUUGAGCUGAGUGGCAAGUCCAAUCUGCAACUUUGAAUCUCUGCAAGUCUUGAACUUUGAAUCUCUGCAAGUCGUGGCACCUGUCCAGACAUAAGCAUGCCACAGCCUGACUAGAGCCUAGAGGACGGCGAGGUAGAAGAACUCCAGGGUCGGAUCAACUAGCAGCUCCUCCGCCGCCACAGCAGCUUCCGCUUCGACUCCCAGCGCACCGGACGCGGCGGCCCCUUCGCCCACGAUCAAGCCACAACGGGGGUGGAAGCAGGACACGGAACCUCCCCGAUGGCGCAGGGCGAGGCUGCGCUCCACGACCGCGGACGACCACCCCCGCUCCUCAUCGGACUCCUCCCGCCGGUAAAGGCCCUCGUUGCGGCCCCUCUUCUUCGCCCCGUCGCGGCCCCUCUUCUUCGCCUCGUCGCCGUCCCUCUUCUUGGAUGCGUCGCUGUCCCUCUUCUUGGAUGCGUCGCGGUCGCGCCGGCGGGCGAGCUCCUCCUCAACGGGGUCGUCCGCCACCACGGAGGUUAUGGCGCCGUCGAUGGUGAAGGUGAAGGCGAAGGCACCCGCGCGCAGGAGCUGGGUCCCGUCAGCGGCCAUCAUCGGCGGCGGCGGCAGGAUUGAGAUCUGAUGGGAUCGCGAUUGCGGUGGACGCGGCGGCGGCGGGAUUGAGAUCAGAAGGGAAUGGGAUCGCGAGUGCUCGUGACUCGUGAGAGAUCAGGGAUGGGAGUCGCGGCGGAGGGGAAAUUUUGGAAAGAUGGCGCGCGGCGGAAGGGAAAUUUGCAGGCGGAUCGGACGGUGCCUUUGAGGACAGGUCGGAUGCGUGGGCGACUCGGGAUUAGUUGGCGUAGGCGCCACGCGGAUCCGGACGCUUGCGUGCGGUGGACGCUGGUGGAGCGGGGUGACAGCUCAGCAGAGGCAAGGCAGGCGACCCGCUCGACUCGGAUGCCCAUGCGCUGCGGUUACCUUAACCCGGCGGUGAGGAGGUGUAUUCCGGUAUAUCCGUGUUUCGGGACAGCCUGGGCAAGCGUAUUAAUUAAUGGUUCUGAUUUCCGCAUUUUAUUUAUUUACUAGCAGAAAUACCCGUGCGUUGCUACGGGCCCUUAACGGGUCCUUACUGUAACAGCUGCCAUUUUGGUCAUUUAAAGUGACUUGGAUGAAUUGGAAGUGAUUCAAGAAGAAAAGGAAAAGAAAUUAGCCAAAAUCAAAUUCGGGUCAAAUUUGGCCGAAAUUUGAAUUUUGAAUUUGAAAUUCAGAAAAAUUCGGCAAAAAUAUAGAAUACAAGUGUAAGAGUGACUAGAACUUAGGGAUCAAGAAUUUGGAACAGAAAUGGUGCUAAAUAUCUCAGAGAAAUCAAAGAAAGAAAAAGGAAAAUUGAAGUUACUGUUCACCGUCCGAAAAUAGGAACUCAGAAAAACAGCAGCAGAGUCUGUUUUCAAAAUUGAUUUCUGAUGAACUUUUCAAAUAAGUGAAUCAAAACAACUACACCACAUCAUAGUAUGGACUUUAGACUACUAGAAUUGGAUGUUGUUGGCAAGAAACAGUGAAGCGAACAAAUUCAAAUUCCAGCUCAAAGUCAGCAUCUUGUCACUGCAAAUGACAUCACUGAAAAUGGUUAAGUCUGAAACCAGCAGCAUAGAGUCGACUUUGGACUUGAAUUCAGAGCAAUGUAGAUCAGAAAGAGUAGUUGUUCUUGAGCAAAAUGGAACAUUGGGAUGUUGUAGAACACAUUUGGGAAGAAAUUGGACUGAAAGGAGAGGAAUUGGAUCACUAAACUCAAUCCCAAAGUGAAGCAAGUGACACUGUCAGUUAACUCACGAACUGAACUUGGAGUUCAGCGAAAUUCAGUUGAAGCCGAGAAAGAAAUUCAAAUUACACUGUGCUCGGAUGUUUAUCUCGGGGUAGAGCCAAAAUAAAAGUUGGAGGAUUCAAGUUUAUCUCCAACUUCUGUUAAGGCACUUGGGGACCGUCGGAUUGGAAAUCGACCGUGAUGAAGCUCUGAAGAUUUCGGGCAUCAGAAGAAAGAAAGGGGAACGAUGACAGAGCAACGGGACGUGUCGCCGCCGCCGCCGUCGGUCACUCGCCAGCGCAACCAGCUAGGCCACCUCUUCACCACGUAAGUCUACGAGUAGGCCACGGUGUCACCCAUGCGCGCAGUAAAACGCUUGAAUAACUACCGCUCCCGCGCCGCCGUUUCACCGCCGCUCUUUUUACCGCCGCCACUUCCUCUGUCCGAGCCGCCGCCGCCGAGCAAAAUUCCACCGCUACACCGUACCUCCCGUCGAUUCCUUCCGUCCACACCUCCGCCCACACCCCACCAGCAACCCUAGAACCUUGUUGCCCAGCUUCUCUGCCGUCACGCCUGGAACCACCGCCGCUUCUGUCCGCCGUCGCCGCGCCUCCCGCUCACGGUGAGCACUACCUUGCGCCGGUCCCCUUUCUUCUUAAGUAGUAGUAGGCGAGUCCUUAGGGUACUAGGAUGGUGUAGAAGCAGUCGUUCGAGUAGUUUGCGCCGCAGUCGUGAGUAGCCGCAGCCGGCCGAAGGUGUCGCCGCCCGCCGCCGUGGAGGGAGUGGCUCCGGCCAUCUCUUGAGGAGCUGUUGCCGCGCGCGGGUGCGUGAAAGCAUAGGGGUGCUGUCCUGACCUAGCUUCGCCGCCGGUGGGGCGCCGGCCGGCGAGUCGCGCCGCCCCCUGUCGCGCGCGCGUUUUGGCGGGAGGAGGAAGAAGCGCCUGGAUGCUCAGGCCCGCGCGACAGAGAGAGAAAGGAGGAGAGGAGAAAGAGGCCGGGGCGCGGCCGUCUGUUGGGCCGCGGCCUUGAGGCCCAGUAGCGCGCACGCGGUCGGCCAUAAAAGAGAAAGGGGCCGGAGGCCCAGUGGAGGCAGGCCGCGCCCGUGAAGGAAAGAGGAAAAAGGAAGAGGGCCAUUGGGCCGGUGUCGGGCCAGAAAAGGGGAAAGAAAAAGAAAACGGCCCACGGGGCCCGUCAGGGGGAGAAAUGGCCGGCGGGUAAGUGGAGCAGUGAAUAGGUGGGUCCGCGUCGUGGGGCCCAGUGCGCAUGAGAGGGGGUAGAG